This 585-nucleotide ribosomal RNA is filed under the name uncultured Basidiomycota. RNAcentral's name for it is "eukaryotic LSU rRNA". The stretch from base 193 to 346 matches the Rfam family "5.8S ribosomal RNA". The record is from RNAcentral. Lineage: Eukaryota; Fungi; Basidiomycota.
CAUUAACGUACCUCUGACGGCGAGGGUGCGCCCUGCUCCGACCGAAAGGCCGUGCAGCGGGCAAUCCCGAGCCGCUCAACUCACAAACCCACCGUGAACCUUUGUCGGCGGAGGGCCCUCGUGGCCCCGAGCCGGAUCACAAACUCAAAAGUCUUUAAUGCAUAGCGGACUGAGUGCCGCCUAAACUUAAACAACUUUCAACAACGGAUCUCUUGGCUCUCGCAUCGAUGAAGAACGCAGCGAAAUGCGAUAAGUAAUGUGAAUUGCAGAAUUCAGUGAAUCAUCGAAUCUUUGAACGCACCUUGCGCUCCUUGGUAUUCCGAGGAGCAUGCCUGUUUGAGUGUCUUGAAGUCAUCAACCCCUCCGGUUUUGUGCCGGGAGGAAGGUUGGAGUUGGGGGCUUGCGGUCGCGAGGUCGCUCCCCUCAAAUGCUUCGGUUGGGCCUGCGGGUCGAACUCGGUAGGGCGUUGUACCAUCCUCGCUCUUGUGCUGAGAUGUUCCCCUUUGUUGAGCCCUCCCACGACCCCCUCUAGAGUGGCGGUCAAGCUGUUUUUGAAAUCUGACCUCAAAUCAGGUAGGACUACCC